This 468-nucleotide ribosomal RNA is filed under the name uncultured bacterium. RNAcentral describes it as "partial 16S ribosomal RNA". It matches the Rfam family "Bacterial small subunit ribosomal RNA", at positions 28 to 507 of the family's 1533-position model. The record is from RNAcentral.
GACGAACGCUGGCGGCGUGCUUAACACAUGCAAGUCGUACGGAAAGGCCCUGCUUUUGUGGGGUGCUCGAGUGGCGAACGGGUGAGUAACACGUGAGUAACCUGCCCUUGACUUUGGGAUAACUUCAGGAAACUGGGGCUAAUACCGGAUAGGAGCUCCUGCUGCAUGGUGGGGGUUGGAAAGUUUCGGCGUUUGGGGAUGGACUCGCGGCUUAUCAGCUUGUUGGUGGGGUAGUGGCUUACCAAGGCUUUGACGGGUAGCCGGCCUGAGAGGGUGACCGGCCACAUUGGGACUGAGAUACGGCCCAGACUCCUACGGGAGGCAGCAGUGGGGAAUAUUGCACAAUGGGCGGAAGCCUGAUGCAGCAACGCCGCGUGCGGGAUGACGGCCUUCGGGUUGUAAACCGCUUUCGCCUGUGACGAAGCGUGAGUGACGGUAAUGGGUAAAGAAGCACCGGCUAACUACGUG